RNAcentral lists this ribosomal RNA (445 nucleotides) under Armatobalanus sp. 1 MM-2014. RNAcentral's name for it is "partial 16S ribosomal RNA". It matches the Rfam family "Bacterial large subunit ribosomal RNA", at positions 1933 to 2590 of the family's 2925-position model. Lineage: Eukaryota; Metazoa; Arthropoda; Thecostraca; Balanomorpha; Balanidae. The record is from RNAcentral.
GCAGUAUCCUAACUGUGCUAAGGUAGCAUAAUCAUUAGUCUUUUAAUUGGAGACUGGUAUGAAUGGCUUAACGAGAAAUUGACUUUUUUUGCUAUUUUAAUUGAAUUUAAUUUUUUAGUGAAAAAGCUAAAAUUAUUUAGAAAGACGAGAAGACCCUAUAGAGUUUUAUAUCUGAUUUUAUUUUUUCUUAUUAGAUUUUUUGAGAAUAAAUAUAUAAAGAUAUUUUGUUGGGGCGACAUUAAGAUAUAAAAAACUCUUUAUUUUAUAAAUUUUUAUGUAAAUAUUUCAUGAUCCUCUAAAAGGGAUCAAAAGAAAAAAUUACCUUAGGGAUAACAGCGUAAUCUUUUUUAAGAGUUCUAAUCGACAAAAAGGUUUGCGACCUCGAUGUUGGACUAAAAUUUAGGCAGGGUGCAGCAGUUCUGCUUUUAGGUCUGUUCGACCUAUA